RNAcentral lists this ribosomal RNA (2906 nucleotides) under Escherichia coli. Its description in RNAcentral is "23S ribosomal RNA". It matches the Rfam family "Bacterial large subunit ribosomal RNA". The record is from RNAcentral. Lineage: Bacteria; Pseudomonadati; Pseudomonadota; Gammaproteobacteria; Enterobacterales; Enterobacteriaceae.
GGUUAAGCGACUAAGCGUACACGGUGGAUGCNNNNNNNNNCAGAGGCGAUGAAGGACGUGCUAAUCUGCGAUAAGCGUCGGUAAGGUGAUAUGAACCGUUAUAACCGGCGAUUUCCGAAUGGGGAAACCCAGUGUGUUUCGACACACUAUCAUUAACUGAAUCCAUAGGUUAAUGAGGCGAACCGGGGGAACUGAAACAUCUAAGUACCCCGAGGAAAAGAAAUCAACCGAGAUUCCCCCAGUAGCGGCGAGCGAACGGGGAGGAGCCCAGAGCCUGAAUCAGUGUGUGUGUUAGUGGAAGCGUCUGGAAAGGCGCGCGAUACAGGGUGACAGCCCCGUACACAAAAAUGCACAUGCUGUGAGCUCGAUGAGUAGGGCGGGACACGUGGUAUCCUGUCUGAAUAUGGGGGGACCAUCCUCCAAGGCUAAAUACUCCUGACUGACCGAUAGUGAACCAGUACCGUGAGGGAAAGGCGAAAAGAACCCCGGCGAGGGGAGUGAAAAAGAACCUGAAACCGUGUACGUACAAGCAGUGGGAGCACGCUUAGGCGUGUGACUGCGUACCUUUUGUAUAAUGGGUCAGCGACUUAUAUUCUGUAGCAAGGUUAACCGAAUAGGGGAGCCGAAGGGAAACCGAGUCUUAACUGGGCGUUAAGUUGCAGGGUAUAGACCCGAAACCCGGUGAUCUAGCCAUGGGCAGGUUGAAGGUUGGGUAACACUAACUGGAGGACCGAACCGACUAAUGUUGAAAAAUUAGCGGAUGACUUGUGGCUGGGGGUGAAAGGCCAAUCAAACCGGGAGAUAGCUGGUUCUCCCCGAAAGCUAUUUAGGUAGCGCCUCGUGAAUUCAUCUCCGGGGGUAGAGCACUGUUUCGGCAAGGGGGUCAUCCCGACUUACCAACCCGAUGCAAACUGCGAAUACCGGAGAAUGUUAUCACGGGAGACACACGGCGGGUGCUAACGUCCGUCGUGAAGAGGGAAACAACCCAGACCGCCAGCUAAGGUCCCAAAGUCAUGGUUAAGUGGGAAACGAUGUGGGAAGGCCCAGACAGCCAGGAUGUUGGCUUAGAAGCAGCCAUCAUUUAAAGAAAGCGUAAUAGCUCACUGGUCGAGUCGGCCUGCGCGGAAGAUGUAACGGGGCUAAACCAUGCACCGAAGCUGCGGCAGNNNNNNNNNNNNNNUGUUGGGUAGGGGAGCGUUCUGUAAGCCUGUGAAGGUGUGCUGUGAGGCAUGCUGGAGGUAUCAGAAGUGCGAAUGCUGACAUAAGUAACGAUAAAGCGGGUGAAAAGCCCGCUCGCCGGAAGACCAAGGGUUCCUGUCCAACGUUAAUCGGGGCAGGGUGAGUCGACCCCUAAGGCGAGGCCGAAAGGCGUAGUCGAUGGGAAACAGGUUAAUAUUCCUGUACUUGGUGUUACUGCGAAGGGGGGACGGAGAAGGCUAUGUUGGCCGGGCGACGGUUGUCCCGGUUUAAGCGUGUAGGCUGGUUUUCCAGGCAAAUCCGGAAAAUCAAGGCUGAGGCGUGAUGACGAGGCACUACGGUGCUGAAGCAACAAAUGCCCUGCUUCCAGGAAAAGCCUCUAAGCAUCAGGUAACAUCAAAUCGUACCCCAAACCGACACAGGUGGUCAGGUAGAGAAUACCAAGGCGCUUGAGAGAACUCGGGUGAAGGAACUAGGCAAAAUGGUGCCGUAACUUCGGGAGAAGGCACGCUGAUAUGUAGGUGAAGUCCCUCGCGGAUGGAGCUGAAAUCAGUCGAAGAUACCAGCUGGCUGCAACUGUUUAUUAAAAACACAGCACUGUGCAAACACGAAAGUGGACGUAUACGGUGUGACGCCUGCCCGGUGCCGGAAGGUUAAUUGAUGGGGUUAGCCGCAAGGCGAAGCUCUUGAUCGAAGCCCCGGUAAACGGCGGCCGUAACUAUAACGGUCCUAAGGUAGCGAAAUUCCUUGUCGGGUAAGUUCCGACCUGCACGAAUGGCGUAAUGAUGGCCAGGCUGUCUCCACCCGAGACUCAGUGAAAUUGAACUCGCUGUGAAGAUGCAGUGUACCCGCGGCAAGACGGAAAGACCCCGUGAACCUUUACUAUAGCUUGACACUGAACAUUGAGCCUUGAUGUGUAGGAUAGGUGGGAGNNNNNNNNNNNNNNNNNNNNNNNNNNNNNNNNNNNNNNNNNNNNNNNNNNNNNNNNNNNNNNNNNNNNNNNNNNNNNNNCCGUAAUCCGGGUUGCGGACAGUGUCUGGUGGGUAGUUUGACUGGGGCGGUCUCCUCCUAAAGAGUAACGGAGGAGCACGAAGGUUGGCUAAUCCUGGUCGGACAUCAGGAGGUUAGUGCAAUGGCAUAAGCCAGCUUGACUGCGAGCGUGACGGCGCGAGCAGGUGCGAAAGCAGGUCAUAGUGAUCCGGUGGUUCUGAAUGGAAGGGCCAUCGCUCAACGGAUAAAAGGUACUCCGGGGAUAACAGGCUGAUACCGCCCAAGAGUUCAUAUCGACGGCGGUGUUUGGCACCUCGAUGUCGGCUCAUCACAUCCUGGGGCUGAAGUAGGUCCCAAGGGUAUGGCUGUUCGCCAUUUAAAGUGGUACGCGAGCUGGGUUUAGAACGUCGUGAGACAGUUCGGUCCCUAUCUGCCGUGGGCGCUGGAGAACUGAGGGGGGCUGCUCCUAGUACGAGAGGACCGGAGUGGACGCAUCACUGGUGUUCGGGUUGUCAUGCCAAUGGCACUGCCCGGUAGCUAAAUGCGGAAGAGAUAAGUGCUGAAAGCAUCUAAGCACGAAACUUGCCCCGAGAUGAGUUCUCCCUGACUCCUUGAGAGUCCUGAAGGAACGUUGAAGACGACGACGUUGAUAGGCCGGGUGUGUAAGCGCAGCGAUGCGUUGAGCUAACCGGUACUAAUGAACCGUGAGGCUUAACCUU